GAUGAACGCUGGCGGCGUGCUUAACACAUGCAAGUCGAACGGAAAGGCUCCUGCUUGCAGGGGUACUCGAGUGGCGAACGGGUGAGUAACACGUGGGUGAUCUGCCCUGCACUUCGGGAUAAGCCUGGGAAACUGGGUCUAAUACCGGAUAGGACCACAUUUUGGAUGGUGUGGUGGAAAGUUUUUCGGUGUGGGAUGAGCUCGCGGCCUAUCAGCUUGUUGGUGGGGUAAUGGCCUACCAAGGCGUCGACGGGUAGCCGGCCUGAGAGGGUGUACGGCCACAUUGGGACUGAGAUACGGCCCAGACUCCUACGGGAGGCAGCAGUGGGGAAUAUUGCACAAUGGGCGCAAGCCUGAUGCAGCGACGCCGCGUGGGGGAUGACGGCCUUCGGGUUGUAAACUCCUUUCGCUAGGGACGAAGCGCAAGUGACGGUACCCGGAGAAGAAGCACCGGCUAACUACGUG
This 465-nucleotide ribosomal RNA is filed under the name uncultured bacterium. Its description in RNAcentral is "partial 16S ribosomal RNA". It matches the Rfam family "Bacterial small subunit ribosomal RNA", at positions 28 to 507 of the family's 1533-position model. The record is from RNAcentral.